AACGAACGCUGGCGGCAUGCCUAACACAUGCAAGUCGAACGAGACCUUCGGGUCUAGUGGCGCACGGGUGCGUAACGCGUGGGAACCUGCCCUUAGGUGCGGAAUAACUCCCCGAAAGGGGUGCUAAUACCGGAUAAUGUCUUCGGACCAAAGAGUUAUCGCCUUUGGAUGGGCCCGCGUUGGAUUAGCUAGUUGGUAGGGUAAAAGCCUACCAAGGCGACGAUCCAUAGCUGGUCUGAGAGGAUGAUCAGCCACACUGGGACUGGGACACGGCCCAGACUCCUACGGGAGGCAGCAGUGGGGAAUAUUGGACAAUGGGCGAAAGCCUGAUCCAGCAAUGCCGCGUGAGUGAUGAAGGCCUUAGGGUUGUAAAGCUCUUUUACCCGGGAUGAUAAUGACAGUACCGGGAGAAUAAGCUCCGGCUAACUCCGUG
RNAcentral lists this ribosomal RNA (433 nucleotides) under uncultured bacterium. Its description in RNAcentral is "partial 16S ribosomal RNA". It matches the Rfam family "Bacterial small subunit ribosomal RNA", at positions 29 to 507 of the family's 1533-position model. The record is from RNAcentral.